GGCGGCGUAGCGCAGUUGGUCAGAGCAUACGGUUCAUACCCGUAGUGUCGCUGGUUCGAGUCCAGCCGCCGCUACCA
This 77-nucleotide transfer RNA is filed under the name Bacillota bacterium. RNAcentral's name for it is "Firmicutes bacterium (anaerobic digester metagenome) tRNA-Met". It matches the Rfam family "tRNA". Rfam says of the family: Transfer RNA (tRNA) molecules are approximately 80 nucleotides in length. Their secondary structure includes four short double-helical elements and three loops (D, anti-codon, and T loops). The record is from RNAcentral. Lineage: Bacteria; Bacillati; Bacillota.